UACGAAGGGUGCAAGCGUUACACGGAAUUACUGGGCGUAAAGCGUGCGUAGGCGGUUUGUUAAGUCUGUCGUGAAAGCCCCGGGCUCAACCUGGGAAUGGCGAUGGAUACUGGCGAGCUAGAGUACGGUAGAGGAGAGUGGAAUUCCCGGUGUAGCAGUGAAAUGCGUAGAGAUCGGGAGGAACAUCAGUUGCGAAGGCGGCUCUCUGGACCAGUACUGACGCUGAGGCACGAAAGCGUGGGGAGCAAACAGG
RNAcentral lists this ribosomal RNA (253 nucleotides) under uncultured bacterium. Its description in RNAcentral is "partial 16S ribosomal RNA". It matches the Rfam family "Bacterial small subunit ribosomal RNA", at positions 524 to 776 of the family's 1533-position model. The record is from RNAcentral.